This 143-nucleotide ribosomal RNA is filed under the name Paenibacillus sp. Leaf72. Its description in RNAcentral is "partial 23S ribosomal RNA". It matches the Rfam family "Bacterial large subunit ribosomal RNA", at positions 2784 to 2925 of the family's 2925-position model. The record is from RNAcentral. Lineage: Bacteria; Bacillati; Bacillota; Bacilli; Caryophanales; Paenibacillaceae.
AAGGCGAAGCCCCCCUCAAGAUGAGAUUUCCCAAUUUAGUAAGACCCCUUGAAGACGACGAGGUUGAUAGGUUCGGGGUGGAAGCGCAGCAAUGCGUGCAGCUGACGAAUACUAAUCGGUCGAGGGCUUAUCCUAAACAACAC